GACCACCUCAACGCCACAGUAUAAAUUCACAAUGGAGACUGAAGAUGAAGAAAACGAUGACAAUAAGAACAGUUAAAAAAACAGCCAUCAUGCCAACAAGCUUAAAGCUAGUAAUAAUAUUUUGUUACUACAUUAUACAUCUCUCGAAAGCGGGUUGUCCACGAUUAUGCGAGUGCAAAUGGAAAAGUGGAAAGGAGUCCGUAUUAUGCUGGAACGCAAAUCUUUCAUACGUUCCCCUACAACUAGAAGCCGGUACACAGAUCUUGGAUCUUACAGGAAACAAUCUGACGAGUAUCAAACAUGAAGAGUUCAAUAAAGCAGGUCUUGUCAAUUUACAAAAAAUAUUUUUGGCAAAAUGUCGAUUGAAAACUUUAGAAAGAUACGCGUUCAAACAUUUGAUUAAUUUGGUAGAACUUGAUUUGAGUUACAACUUAUUAACCAAUGUUCCUUCACACACAUUUGAUUCGAUUACUGAAUUGAGAGAAUUGAAAAUUAAUGGAAACCCGAUACAAAAGAUAUUUAAUGAUGCAUUUUUACAUAUUCCUCAAUUGAUAAGGUUAGAAAUAUCUGAAUGUAAACUUAGUUUAAUAGAACCAAGAGCCUUCGCAGGUCUAGGAAAGUCAUUGGAAUGGUUAAAAUUAGAUAACAAUAAAUUAGUAGAUGUGACGUCUGAAUCUUUCACAAGUUUACAAAGUCUUCAUGGUCUUGAGCUAGAAGGGAACCCAUGGAACUGUACAUGCACUCUAAGGCCCCUUAGAGUUUGGAUGAUGCGACAAAAUGUUCCUUUUGGCGUUCCACCGGUUUGUCAUAGUCCUAAGCGUUUGUAUAUGAAAUCUUGGGACAAACUGGAUUUGGAUGAAUACGCAUGUGUACCAGAAAUAUUUGCAUACAGCAGCAGUGCUCAUGGAGUGGAAGGCAAAAAUAUUACAAUGACAUGUAGUAUAGCUGGUAUUCCUGAGCCGAACGUUCGUUGGUUAAUGAAGAACAAGGUAAUAGCGAACUUAUCUGGGACUGCUAAUACAGGUGGUAAAAAACUCUACAUCGUCCAACUGAAUAACAGUUCGAGCGAGUUGACCAUCUUCAGUGCAGAUCUUCAAGAUGCAGGGACUUAUAUUUGCCUAGCGGAGAAUAAAGCGGGUAAAGCCGAAGCCAGCGUUACAUUAGCAGUAUCAAAGAAACCUCCAGAGACAGGUCUCUCCCAUAAACUCCUAAUAGCUAGUGUUGUAACUGGCAUUGUAUUCGUAUUCAUUUCGUGUGCUAUAUCUGUGUGUAUAUAUACUAUAAAGAAGAAACAAACCGUUAAAUGGAGGACUCGUGAGUGUCGACGUGAAGACAAUUAUGAGAAGAUAGAGAUGAAUCACAAGGGAAUCAAGGUUAAUGGUGGUGUUAAUGUAAAUGAAGAGAUAGCUGUGGUUACUGAUCGCCGUAACGGUGAGUAUCGAGUAAUUCCUGGUGGUGACACUGAUCAAGAAGUGGAAGAUGAAGAAGAUACUAACGUUGACGGACCAAUUGGUGGUAUUAAAAAAAUCAGUCCGUUGAUAGUUAAAGAAGGUAGUAGUGUGGAGCAAGGUUGGAAUUCACCGGAAGAUUUGUUGGAUCCGGAUGAUUUGCAUAUACCGAGGAGGACUAUUCAGGAGACUAGAGACAAUAUCAACAAAAACUGCACUUCGACAUGUGGUACAUAUAAUCAGUAUCCGACACCUACUUCAACACCAACCAGCUUCCCAAUCUACUCAACACCAUCAUCGACGAUAAGAAGAUACUUUUCACCGACUGCAUCUUCCGUUUAUUCCACAAAAGAACUGUCUCGGGUAACAGAAGGUGCGGAAAAACAUUUUCCAGACUUAAUAGAAAGUUCGCCAAAAAGUAAAUCGUUUGAAAUGAAACAGUAUAGUGCAUCUAGAGCUGCAAGUGAUAGUGGAAGUGCGUCGGAUAUAAACGAAAUAUUUUGUACGUUACCGAGGAAAAAAGAAUUAUUACAAUCCACGAGGUACAGAAGUAAUGAUAGUCAAGCGCCCUUGUUGACAGAUAGUAGAUAUGGUAGUAGCGGUGGAGAAAGCAUUCACGGCGGUCAAGACAGACUAAUGUCUGAUACUCCCAAGUACCCCUUCGCUAGCUUGAAUAGAAACAGGGUAAAUAAAAUAUCAAAUAGUUAUUUGAAUUUGACUCGAGAAGAAGGUCAUCAAAACAAAGAGUUAACGACUGAUAUGAGCGCCACCCCUCUUCUGGAUGUUUCUAACCUAGAAAAUCGCAUUUGGUUUAACAAAACAAGGGAAAGAAUAUCCCCUACAUCUAGCACUACUCCAAACGCCAAUUCGUAUGAUUAUCAUGCUGCCCAGCUGGAGAGGUUCCUUGAAGAGUAUAGAAGUCUACAGAAACAGUUGACCAAGAUGAAAGAAACAUGCGAUAACUUGUGUAUGGAAAAGGAAAGAGAAAAACAACUUCCCCCUCCAUUUGCACCAUCUACGUCUUUCUUCAACAAACCCACAACUUUAGCACUCUCUCCAAAUUCCAACCAAUCGAUUGGAAACUCCGUCGACUUCAAAAACUUCGAAAAUGAUUUAAAGAAGUAUCUCAUUUCUAAGAAUUUAUCUCCCAGUAACUUCAAUAGCAGUAACUUUGAAUCGUAAGCGAAUAUUUCAUAGAAUCGUUUAUACUACGGCUUGAUUAAAUCAAUACUGAUGGUAGUGUGAAAUUUCAAUUUAUUAUCACCAGCGAAUUCAUUUAUUAACUCAUAUUUCUCUCGAACUUUCCAACUAAGAGGAUGAUUGGAUCUGGGAACUCAGCUUAUUGACAAUUUUUUGACUAUUUACAGGUUUCAGAAAAAAAAAAGAUUGAUUAUUGUACUCUAAAGAAGACCAGCAGCAUUCAUUUAGUUUCAAUAAUACAAAUAUAUCAUACUUUUACUAAAAAUUGUGAAAUUUGAGAUGUUUUUGAACCGUUAUCAUUGUGAUGAGAGUCAUAAAAAAGUUAUUACACCCUGAAGUUUCCGUUUUCCUAUUGAUUCUAAUUGGCUUGGAAUUUAGAAAUUGUAUUUAAAUGAAAAUAUUGUAAAUAAUUAUUUGUAUAAUUGUUAUUAUACUCCUAUUUGUUAAGUGUUAUAGAGUAGUAGAACUUUGUGAUAUUACUUAGGUAUAGGGAAAAAUUAAGACUAUUCAAUUGUUUGGUCAAUAUAAAAAUUAUUAUAUAUAACAUAUCCUUUCAAAUUUGUCAAUAAAAAUAUAUGAUUAAACA
Diorhabda carinulata is the source of this 3234-nucleotide RNA transcript. RefSeq lists it as uncharacterized. The record is from RefSeq and is a predicted model, not a curated record. The transcript has 7 exons. Lineage: Eukaryota; Metazoa; Arthropoda; Insecta; Coleoptera; Chrysomelidae.